GUAGUAAAAUAAUCUAGGUCACACAGGACAGUCUAUAUAUUAUACGGGGAAACCUACUCAGAAUAAUCUGGUGGUGAUUUGUAUGGAUUUCGGGUGGUAUUGCUCUGGUAUUGAAGCACAGGGUUAAGGUACAAUAAGUCCCUGGUAUCGGGCCGCAAUCUUAAAACCAGAGCAGAUGAAAGAUGCCCUUUUUAUACUUAGAGCCCACAACCCACAUCCCCAUGGUAUCAGUGGGCCAUUCUACGGUAAUUGAUUGGUUGAUUGCCCACAGGGUUAUAGGUCGUGUGUCGUCUUUUUUUCCCACGGCAAGCACAUGCGCAGACAAGGUAAAUAAAUGGCGGCCUCCAGUAAACGUAGGAUAAGUCUAGGGAAUAAAAGGAAAAGGGGACGAUGGAAGCUUUACAUUAACAAAGGAUAUGCCCAGUUACAAUAUAUAUCCCUUAUAUAAAUAUACUAUAAAGGAUCAUCAACCUCUUCUGGAUAUACAAGAAUACUGGCAGGAUCAAAGAAAAAACUUUCAAGAGGGAUAAAACUGGAAACCUCUUCUCCAACUUUUCUAUCACUUUGUCUAUAGUUAUGGAAAGUAGACCUAAAAAGUGUUUACUCGAUAAUUUCUUUUAUAGAAGAUGCAUAAAAUUUACAAAGGCAAAUCAAAUUAUUUUGUAUCAUAUUUAUAAGUUACUGUAACAAACAUGGUUUGGUUUAAAAAGCAAGAGUUUUUUUUUUAUUUAAUUACCUGUCUUUCAAAUUUAGUAAAUUCCUCUUAGGAUGGA
This is a long non-coding RNA of Mytilus californianus (California mussel), 773 nucleotides long. RefSeq lists it as uncharacterized. The transcript has 2 exons. The record is from RefSeq and is a predicted model, not a curated record. NCBI's taxonomy places the organism in Eukaryota, Metazoa, Mollusca, Bivalvia, Mytilida, Mytilidae.